Molecule: unclassified non-coding RNA, 68 nt
Filed under: Flavobacterium sp. fv08
Lineage: Bacteria; Pseudomonadati; Bacteroidota; Flavobacteriia; Flavobacteriales; Flavobacteriaceae
Also listed under: 1 other name
Description: Flavo-1 RNA
Source: RNAcentral
ACCUAGCCCCGAUAGAGGCGGUAUUCUCGUAGUGAAACGAAGAGAUAUAGCCGAAAGCGGGAAACCAU